RNAcentral lists this non-coding RNA (22 nucleotides) under Arabidopsis thaliana (thale cress). The record is from RNAcentral. Lineage: Eukaryota; Viridiplantae; Streptophyta; Magnoliopsida; Brassicales; Brassicaceae.
AACACAUGUCAAAAUCUAAGAU